GGGGUCGUGGGGUAAUCUGGCAUCCUAGCGGGCUCCAGACCUGCCGAUGGGGGUUCAAAUCCCUCCGGCCCCA
This 73-nucleotide transfer RNA is filed under the name Candidatus Altarchaeales archaeon. RNAcentral describes it as "tRNA-Trp". It matches the Rfam family "tRNA". Rfam says of the family: Transfer RNA (tRNA) molecules are approximately 80 nucleotides in length. Lineage: Archaea; Nanobdellati; Candidatus Altarchaeota; Candidatus Altarchaeia; Candidatus Altarchaeales. RNAcentral also lists the same sequence under 1 other name. The record is from RNAcentral.